CAGCCGCCGCGGUAAUACGUAGGGUGCGAGCGUUAAUCGGAAUUACUGGGUGUAAAGCGUGCGUAGGUGGUGGUUUAAGUCCGUUGUGAAAGCCCUGGGCUCAACCUGGGAAUUGCAGUGGAUACUGAAUCACUAGAGUGUGGUAGAGGAUAGUGGAAUUUCCGGUGUAGCAGUGAAAUGCGUAGAGAUCGGAAGGAACAUCUGUGGCGAAGGCGACUAUCUGGGCCAACACUGACACUGAGGCACGAAAGCGUGGGGAGCAAACAGGAUUAGAUACCCCCGUAGUCCCUGUCUCUUAUAC
RNAcentral lists this ribosomal RNA (301 nucleotides) under uncultured bacterium. RNAcentral describes it as "partial 16S ribosomal RNA". It matches the Rfam family "Bacterial small subunit ribosomal RNA", at positions 509 to 807 of the family's 1533-position model. The record is from RNAcentral.